RNAcentral lists this microRNA precursor (58 nucleotides) under Triops cancriformis. Its description in RNAcentral is "microRNA tcf-mir-96 precursor". Its record names the gene tcf-mir-96. Lineage: Eukaryota; Metazoa; Arthropoda; Branchiopoda; Notostraca; Triopsidae. The record is from miRBase by way of RNAcentral.
UUUGGCACUAGCACAUUUUUGUGUUGAGACUGUUAACAAAACUGUGAUAGUGUCAAGU